UACGAAGGGGGCUAGCGUUGCUCGGAUUGACUGGGCGUAAAGGGCGCGUAGGCGGUUCGUACAGUCAGACGUGAAAUUCCUGGGCUCAACCUGGGGGCUGCGUUUGAUACGUGCGGACUUGAGUGCGGAAGAGGGUCGUGGAAUUCCCAGUGUAGAGGUGAAAUUCGUAGAUAUUGGGAAGAACACCGGUGGCGAAGGCGGCGACCUGGUCCGAUACUGACGCUGAGGCGCGAAAGCAUGGGGAGCGAACAGG
Molecule: ribosomal RNA, 253 nt
Filed under: uncultured bacterium
Lineage: Bacteria
Description: partial 16S ribosomal RNA
Rfam family: Bacterial small subunit ribosomal RNA
Source: RNAcentral